This 990-nucleotide ribosomal RNA is filed under the name Triticum aestivum (bread wheat). RNAcentral's name for it is "partial small subunit ribosomal RNA". The record is from RNAcentral. Lineage: Eukaryota; Viridiplantae; Streptophyta; Magnoliopsida; Poales; Poaceae.
AUGGUGAAGAUACUGGAGAUCGGAGGAGGACCACUCGACGCCGAGGAAGACGACGACUGCUGCGAGAUAGACCCCGCCGAGUUCGCCAAGAAGGUGAACCUCAAAGCAUCAGCCGACGACGAUGUGGUCGUGGUUGCGGCGAAAGGCCCGAUCAAAGUCAAGGUGGAAGUAGAUCGGUCGGAGCAUUCUGCAGAAACCAUCCCUAUCAUCGCCAAUGGUAAUGGUGGCCUGCACGGACGCAUUGCUGGUGAUCGCUUGGAUAACCCCUAUGAGAUUGAAGAAGAUGAACCUACUAUCCAUCAGAUGGAGCCUCUUGAGGCCAAGCCUGAUGUCAAAAGCACCCCUGUCGAGCCACUGCUGGUGAUGUCCGAUUCCGAACUGCCCUUUGGGGGGCUCUUCGCCGACAUGUCUCCGGUCAAGCGUGAACCUGAAGAUGGCAAUGUGAAUGGCGAACCUGAAGAUGGCACCAGUGGUGGCGAUGAGCAUGAACUCUCUGAGGAGGAAGUCAUGCCUGAGAUGUCGCUGCUGAAGUGUGACUCUGAAUGCUUCGAGGAGGUCGUCAAUCCUGGCAUGUCACAGGCAAAGUGUGAGACUGAAGGCAAUGCCGGUGCUGUGGAUGAACCCAUCGAGGAGGAAAUCAUCCCUGACAUGUCGCCGCUGAAAUGCGGGUCUGAAUGCUUUGAGGAGGUCGUCAUUCCUGACUUGUCGCCGGUAACGCACAACAGUGGCACGGAUGAACUCUCCAAGGAGAAAACCAUCCCUGCCAUGCCGCUGCUGAAGUCUGAAUCUGAAUACUUUGAGGAUGUUGCUGUUCCUGUCAUGUUGCCGAUAAAGCACAAACCUGAAGACCAUCAUGGUGCUGAAGAGUGUGUCGGAGAAGAGGAUGGGUAUGACCAUCUCCCUGAGAUGGAUAAACUCAGCCCUGAAGGAAGAGUGUUUGAUGAGGAAGACGGUGACGACGUAGUUGUAGUAGCCAAACAGGCUCUUUGA